This is a small nucleolar RNA of Pistacia vera, 108 nucleotides long. The record is from RefSeq and is a predicted model, not a curated record. NCBI's taxonomy places the organism in Eukaryota, Viridiplantae, Streptophyta, Magnoliopsida, Sapindales, Anacardiaceae.
AUUUGAUGAUGUGGAUAGGUAGCACACAAUUUCUUAAACCUUUCUCAAUAUUCAUAUAAGUUUUCCCCAUUCUAUUGCUGAAUCCCACAAAUUUCUUUCCUAAUGAGU